This is a long non-coding RNA of Gallus gallus (chicken), 5500 nucleotides long. Lineage: Eukaryota; Metazoa; Chordata; Aves; Galliformes; Phasianidae. The record is from Ensembl.
CCCACACUAAAUAAAAGCUACGUUCCCUCUUUUAAUGCUUCUGAGAAUUGAGCUUUUGUACAAAAAAAGGGCCCUACGCUCUGGUGAGAACUGCCAGUUGCUAAAAGGUGUUGCUCUGGUGAGAAGAGAAUGGGGCAGGACUGAAGGACCACAGAUAGAAGCACUGCUGACGUCUAUUUAGCUGAAGUAUGUUGAAAUAAUUCCCCACCACACCCACGUGAAUCACUUGUUUUUGUGUUUUAUCAAAAUUCUCAGUAGUUCAAAGCCAGAAAGAUCCCUGUAGAUACCCAGUUUAUCCUGCACUGUUUUCAACUGUUUUCUCACCAUUUUCUGCUCCAUGCCUCCUCCUUCCAGCUUUUUUUGUCCUCUCCGGAGUCCUACUCUUUCCACAGUAAGGUUAGUCGCCACUGCUGUAGGUACAGCUCUUGAUAUCCAAAUCUGUUCUCCUUCUUACACCACAUAAAAGUCGCAGCUGAACUACAGAAAAAAACCAGAGGGGUGGAAAACCUGGUAGUGUGCAUGGCAUCAAAGUGCUAGGAGAACAAAGCUUAAAUGACAAGCCCUUAAUAAUUCACCUGUGACUAUUUUCCUGAAUUCUUACACACUCUGGUGUGAAAUGACUGUAUUUUAUUGUGUUACAUUUGACACUUCAACUCUGGCCUUUGGUAUUAAUGAGAAUGCCCUUCGUCUAUAGCUGCUUUUCCUCCUUUUCUUUGAUUCAUUAGUUGUUUACUGCAGGCUAUUAACAACCUGAGAACUAGCUUUAAUCCACAGCCAGAGUCUUUAAAUAUAAUACAUCAUCAACAGGUAAUUAUUCACUUUGAACUCUUUCCUCCUUUUUUCUUAGCCCUGUGAGGUGAUGUCUGGGGCUUUUAUGGUAACAGAGUUCUUCCAUCAAAGCAUUAAAAUUAGUAACACAAAUGUCAAGAAGUUAAUUUGCAUACUUUAAACACAAGAAUGGCCAAUCUUUUUUUCUUUCUUUUUUUUUUUAUGCCUGCUACAGCUCUGGAGAGAUUUUGAUGCUUUUGCAACAGCAAUUGCUUGACAAUUUAUACUUUAUUAAUGGGUAACUGUACUAUAAAUACUCCGUACUACAAGUUCACUAGGAGUCUUUGCCCACUUCAUCCACGCUCAAGAGGAUUUUAUUUCAGUCAUCCCAUUCAGCUGUUUGAGCAGUCAGCUCAGAAAUCAGAAGUUGUACAUUUAAAUUCAGGACCCGCACCUCUAAAUACACAUAAGCACAAGUUCACAGCGUUGUGUUGACUCCCAAGGUCUUUGACUCAGGUUCUCUGGCUUCAUUUCAGGAAGGUCCUUAAGACCAUGAUUAAGUGCUCCUGUACUUAAGGCUUUCCUAAGUGCUAUUCAAUAGUGGUAUAUAUUUCCUGAACUAAGAUCUUUGUGUGCACACUUGCAGAGACGCUUGGGCUAAUCCCAGAUGAACAAACACAUAGGUAGGGCGAAUGUGACAACGUACCUUCACAGACCCCACAGAAAGGCAGUCGGUGUUGCCUGCAACACAGUGUACUUUCAUCUGAAGCAUUUAUCAGUCUUGGAAAGUCAAGUACAUAACAUUAUGGUGAACUUCUGAGAUUUUUGUUGUUGUUGUUACAGCGCUCUCUUUUAAUCUUUUCUGCAGGAUUUUAUAAUUUUGGUUUCUAAACAUCCCCAGAAAUAAAUUCCAAGGAGCAGCUGACCCAUGAAUGCAAGAGAGUUGCAUUUAUUGAGAGCGCUGCCUCCACUUGUCAUCCUUCCACCCAGAGGUCGUAGUUGGCUGUAACGUGGGGUGCUCUGAGAAGUGGCUUCCAGCAAAAGUGGCACUGGGUAUGUGGAUUUUUAAAAGAUUUCCUUGCACAUUUGCCUGAUGUUCAGUACAUAGACAGUAAGUAGUAGGUACACACACACAACACACAGGGGCAGACUGCUGCUCCCCCAACUCCCAGGAGUUACCAGCAGAAUGAGCAAUGUGACUCAGACACUCAGUUUCUGGACCUGGCUAUUUCAAUCAUGACUGCACGAUAGGAAAGCACCAAAGGAAAACAGUAACUUCCCCAUAUGCAUAUGAAGAAGCCAAGAGACAAGUUUUCCACCAGGCUUUCAUUCUUAAGGAGAUAAGCGAAUCAUGGAAGAAAUAUCAUGCCCACAGUUUAGGCCAAUUGAUAUCAUGAGCAAGUGGUUCACUGCAAGUGGAAUUAACCAGCAAGAACGUGGAGCCUGACUGCUCCUCACAUUCUCCUGAUAAGUAAUCCGCAGAGCCAUGAGAGAAAUGUGUGCUCACGGUGAAGUUAGAAUUAUGAAAAUAAGGCAGGCAAUGAACAACAUACUUGCUUUUGAGGAAGACCUAAAAGCUUCUCCAGACUGAAAAGCAACAGCUAAAAAAGUUUUAUCUUUGCAAGCAUCACUAAAAAGGUUGUAAGCUGAAUAUACUACAAAGUCACUGCCUUCGUCCUUCUGUCUGUGAUGUCUUUAAAUUGAAAAAACCUGUUGGCUUGAGUUCUUAGAACCCCAGAUAAAAGCUUUGAUUUGUUAAUUAAAUUUUUACUGCUAUCUGCAUUUGAUAUCUCAGGCAAAUUGUAUCCGCUUGCAACAACAACAAAAAAAGUCACAUCAAAGGAGAACUCCACCUCCAUGACCUGUAAUUACAGAAUUUAUUGCUUGGUGACACUGACUGCAAGAUGCACCUGCCAGGCAGCCCUGAUGUACUAUCUACACCUAAAACAAAGCCAUUCCACUGAACCAGGGUGAGCCAUCUUAUGCCAAACAAAAGGGUUAUAUUUAGUAAGGCGUUAGCCCAGUGCACUGCCUGUCCUGAGACUGAUGGGAGCUUCUGAAAACAAGGUUUUUUCCUGUGUUAUCGCACUAAUUUGGGGAUAAGUGUCAGCUCCCACAGAGAAGGGCAGAGCUAGGAGAAAAAGGAAAAGAGAAGAGGAUGGGAAGGUAAAACGGAAUUAAAAAGGAACGACAGAAGGAGAAAGGAAAUUAAAAAACAAUUAAAUGGUUGAAAAGGAAAAAUGAUAAAAGCUACUCAUGUAAAGAGAACAGUAUUAGUAAGAAUGGGGAAGGAAGAAGAAGGGAAAAAAGACUUAAAGCAAGAGAGCAAAACAGGUUAGAGAUCUGCUGGAAUCAAACUUUUGUAGAUCCACCAUUCUCCCCUUCAAACACCCCCAUAGAUAAAACAGAAACCCCAAAUUUGUGUCAGUGCACUCUGGCUUUUAUUUUUUUUCCUUGCUAUUUUGAAACAAAACUUAGGAGCCUUCCUUUGAGUCCCAGAAGUUGUUAUUAGUGUUUAUGUUUGGGAAACAAAACACAAAGAAGGAAAAUACAGUAGCACACUGAAUGGGCUUGAUGGAUAGGAAUUUUCCCUGGAGUCAUGAAUGCAUGGAAAAUAUCCACAAAACACAAGAAGCAAUAAUUUCGUUGAAAAAAAAAUUGUUAGGGAAACCAAUAUAGAAAAUUCCUGCCAGAAGACUUAUCAGUAUUGCUUCAGUGACAGCAGGGACUUCCAAGCUGGCAGCCAAAAAAUAUCUGGUUACUUCUCUCACAUGGAUCACGGUGCAAGGUAUAUCUUCAUGCUAAAAUAAAUGAAUAGUAAAAUAAUAAUAAUUUAAUAUAUUGUUCAUUACAUCCUGGUAUUUUACCUACUCUGUCUUUUCUUUUUUUCUAUAGGCCCACGAUUUUGCUUCUCACAUCUGUCUGGCCUCAGGGAACUCUAAUUAAACACCACUGAAAAGAAUGGGGUGAAGUAUACGGUGGAGUAGAGAUUGUGUAGACAUCAAAGUCUUUCUCUGUUUUCAUUGGAACUUCAAAAUACUGCUGAAAUAUUUGCUAAACCUAGCUGAUGUCUUCUUCCUAGAAGCUGCUGAGGGAGCAGGGACUGUACAGCAUGGAGACGAGGAGGCUCAGGGGAGACUUUACAACUACCUGAAAGGAGGUUGUGGCAAAGUGGGGGUCAGCCUCUUCUCCCAGGUAACAGCGAUAGGAUGAGAGGAAAUGGCCUUAAGUAGCACCAGGGGAGAUUCACGUACGAUAUUAGAGAAAAUUUCUUCUCAGAAAGAGUGAAGCAGUGGCAUAGGCUGCCCAAGGUGAUGGAGUUACCAUCCCUGCAGGUGCUCAAGAACCAUGUGGAUGUGGUACUGAGGGACAUGGUUAGUGGGCAUGGUGUGAUGGUCUGACAGUUGGACUUGAUGGUCCUAGCAGUCUUUUUAACCUUAAUGAUUCUAUGAUUUGCUGAUAGCCUGUCCUCUACUGUGCUAUCUGAGCUGCCUUCAGUGGCAUUUCCACUGAAACAGCACAGUUUUCCUUAGCUGCCGAUAGCAGGAACAGUCUUUGCAGCUGAGGAUCAGGUGAGGACAGGCCCUGCUCAGGCCCAAGCAUCAGCAUCACCCUUUUCAACACUACCUUAGAAAUGACAGCCCUACAUUGAGACUAUGGCCCCUCUGGGUUUUGCCACUGUGUCCAAUUAAAUACUUUAUGUUAUUCUUCAUUUAUAAGGGGUAAGAGAGGAAAAUGACACACAUGAUUAGUAUAGAUGUCUCAUUGUCAGAAAACAAUUAAAGGCUAGAAACCAGCACUGGUCUUCUUGCAGUUGGGAAUUACAGUUGUUGGCAGCUGUCAGGUUAGGUUAGGAAAGGAUAGGUUAGGAAGUCUUUAAACCAGGAGUAUUGAUGCUGUCUCUGUUCUGGGAAUUUCCCAAAACCCAGAGGAAUUGUGCGUGGGUGAGAACUGACCUGGUAUUCAAGCUGCCAUUUCUUCCAUUACAGUGAAGGCUCUAGGUGAAGGGAUGCUCUCCUGAUGCUCAGAGAGCAUGGAAGGUUUCGAGGGGUGAAGGCAGGUGAGGUGCUCCCCAUAGAGGAUACAGGCUGAGCUGACACACAGGAGCACAGUAGGUAGGUGCGAUUAAAGAAUUUGGUGAAGCUGUCAAAAGAUGUUGUUCUCAGGCAAACAGAAACACACAUGCACUCACCUUAGCUGGAUUCAGCCUGAUGUCAUAAAGUGGAAGCAAAAUUAUCAUAAAAAUAAGCAUAAGGGCCCUGAAAAAAGCAAGAGGACUCACAGAACUCCUGCAAAAUAUCACUGAAGGGCAUUUGAAGUGUCAUUUUGCAGAAUGUACAGCUGGAAGAGUAGCGUGGUUAGGAUAGAAUUUUAAGGGUGUUAUAGUUGGAAACGUUAUUGUGGUAAAAAAGAAACAAGCAAGGAAGAAACACUCUCCUGUACCUGAGGAUCCAGGCUCACAAUGGAAAACUCCAAAAGGGAGGGAUCUCCAGAAAAAGAUCCUUCCCUAGUGGCAGUCAGCCCUUAAAUGGGGUGUAGGAGAGGUGCGGCCAGGCUCCACCCCUUCUGGUCACACGGCUGAAUUGCCUUCACCUGUGCUCCCAUGGCUGACCCAGUCCUUGCUUCAGGUGAUCAAUCAGUGGUUCAGGCCGUGACUCAACAUUACCUUCAUCUGAUAAUGGUAAUGACUUGACAAAGUAGAGUAUCAGGCUGAGAGUAUGUGGAUACACCU